UAAUCCAAAAAUGAUAAAAGAGGGUUAAAUAAGUGCAACCAUCUCGAAAUCAACAUUGAGUCCGCCAGGAGACAAGGUGUCUAAAUUAAAUAUCCACCUCAUCUCGCAGCGGCUCAACGCUGAUUCCAGACACCCUCCUCUCCAAUGAGUUUCAGUCUUUUGGAUCCCCCAAAAUUGGAGUCCAGAGGGAUCUCCUCCAUGACAAUUUAAAAAAUGUGUGGAUACAUUAUGUUUUAAAAA
Molecule: non-coding RNA, 240 nt
Organism: Pelobates cultripes (western spadefoot toad)
Lineage: Eukaryota; Metazoa; Chordata; Amphibia; Anura; Pelobatidae
Source: the annotation of a GenBank genome assembly